This 620-nucleotide ribosomal RNA is filed under the name Clostridium sulfidigenes. RNAcentral describes it as "bacterial LSU rRNA". It matches the Rfam family "Bacterial large subunit ribosomal RNA", at positions 1 to 625 of the family's 2925-position model. Lineage: Bacteria; Bacillati; Bacillota; Clostridia; Eubacteriales; Clostridiaceae. The record is from RNAcentral.
AGGUCAAGCUACAAAGGGCGCAUGGUGAAUGCCUUGGCACUAGGAGCCGAAGAAGGACGUGAUAAGCUGCGAUAAGUUUUGGGUAGGCGCAAAUAGCCAGUGAUCCAGAGAUUUCCGAAUGGGGAAACCUACAUAGUUAACACUAUGUACUGUGCACUGAAUAAAUAGGUGUAUAGAGGUAAACCCGGGGAACUGAAACAUCUAAGUACCCGGAGGAAGAGAAAGAAACAUCGAUUUCCAAAGUAGCGGCGAGCGAAAUGGAAAGAGCCCAAACCUAAGCCUUUGGCUUAGGGGUUGAGGACAGAACAUAAAAUAUAACAGGAAUUAGCCGAAGACAACUGGAAAGUUGCUCCGCAGAAGGUAAUAGACCUGUAGGUGAAAAUGGAAGUUAUAGAGUUCUGAUCCAGAGUACCACGAGACACGUGAAACCUUGUGGGAAGCAGGGAGGACCACCUCCCAAGGCUAAAUACUACCUAGUGACCGAUAGUGAAGAAGUACCGUGAGGGAAAGGUGAAAAGAACCCCGGAAGGGGAGUGAAAUAGAACCUGAAACCGUGUGCCUACAACCGGUCGAAGCACUUUAUAUGUGUGACGACGUGCUUUUUGUAGAACGAGCCAACG